GACAGAGGGUGCAAACGUUGUUCGGAAUUACUGGGCGUAAAGCGUAUGCAGGCGGAUCGUUAAGUCGGGGGUGAAAUCCCGAGGCUCAACCUCGGAACUGCCUUCGAUACUGGCGAUCUUCGAGUCCGGGAGAGGUGAGUGGAACUCCGAGUGUAGAGGUGAAAUUCGUAGAUAUUCGGAAGAACACCAGUGGCGAAGGCGGCUCACUGGCCCGGUACUGACGCUGAGAUACGAAAGCGUGGGGAGCAAACAGG
Molecule: ribosomal RNA, 254 nt
Filed under: uncultured bacterium
Lineage: Bacteria
Description: partial 16S ribosomal RNA
Rfam family: Bacterial small subunit ribosomal RNA
Source: RNAcentral